This 1161-nucleotide ribosomal RNA is filed under the name Triticum aestivum (bread wheat). Its description in RNAcentral is "partial small subunit ribosomal RNA". Lineage: Eukaryota; Viridiplantae; Streptophyta; Magnoliopsida; Poales; Poaceae. The record is from RNAcentral.
AUGGAUGGGCCUGAUGUUUCUCAACUCUGUGAGAUGCUUGAUACCAUUUGGGCAGAGAUGCCGGGGCAGGAAGUGGUAUAUCAAUGGGUCGAGUGGAUACGCUAUUCUUCAUUAGCAAAUCUCUGGCUUGAUGGCAAAAUAUUGUUAGGUCCAGACAUUCAUAGAUACAACGGAGAUCGGCGCGCAAUCUCAAGAAGUCUCUCACUAGAGUCUGUGAUCCCUUCCAUGCUCAGCUACAGUAGUAAGAAACAUUACCAAGCUUUUCUUGAGGACCUCCAUAUGUGCAUGAUAUGCCUUAACCAGUGGAAAGGUUCAAACUUCAUCAAGCUUCCAUGCCAGCACUUGUAUUGUGUGAAGUGCAUGGAGACGUUAUGCAAGAUGCAUGUGAAGGAAGGCACUUUGUUUCAGUUAGUUUGCCCUGACACCAAGUGCACUUCCAUUCCACACUAUCUGCUAAAGAGGCUUCUUAGCAAAGAAGAGUUUGAACGCUGGGAUAGGCUUGCUCUCGAGAAAGCGUUGGACUCAAUGUCAGACGUUUACUGCCCAAAAUGUGUGGUUGGUUGCGUGGAAGAUGAGGAUAACAAUGCGGAAUGUCCGAAAUGUUCGUUUACCUUCUGCGGUUUUUGCAAGGAAUUAUGGCAUCCAGGGAAACAAUGUCUAACUCCAGAACAAAAGCUCCAACGUCGGAGGGGGUCAGGCAGAAUGACUGAGAGGGAGGUGGCGCAAGAACUAGCGAACAUCAGAGAGUUAUACAAAGAUGUUCGGGUAUGUCCGAAAUGCCGAAUUGCCAUCGCCAAAUGUGAAGGCUGCAACAAAAUGGUGUGUGGAAACUGUGGUCAGUUCUUUUGCUUCCGCUGCGGCAAGGCGAUCUGUGGCUACAGUCAUUUCACGAACUGUCGCCUCUUUGAGCCUCAUGACAUGACAGACUUGGAUAGACAAAUGGAUGAACUGCAAUUUGGAAACCAGAUGCGGAAUCAGUUGAAACCGGUAGGUGCUAUGGUGAGAUGUCCAAGGUGUCGUGAAAUGACUUUCAAGGACGAUGAGAAAUAUAUCUUCUGUAUGGUGUGCGCAGCAAGCUCUUGCACAAUGUGCAAACGGAUAAUCACGGAUAGGAGGAUGAAGAGCGGGCACUGGGGGUCGUCAGAAUGCUACUCCUCGUAG